GCACUGUGUAUGCUCUCUCUCGCUCGCUCUCUCUCUCUUGCUCUCUCUCUCUCUCCCUUUCGAGAGAGAGAGAGAGAGAGAGAGAGAGAGAGAGAGAGAGAGAGAGAGAGAGA
Molecule: non-coding RNA, 113 nt
Organism: Pelobates cultripes (western spadefoot toad)
Lineage: Eukaryota; Metazoa; Chordata; Amphibia; Anura; Pelobatidae
Source: the annotation of a GenBank genome assembly